This 393-nucleotide long non-coding RNA is filed under the name Mustela putorius furo (domestic ferret). RNAcentral's name for it is "lncRNA (ENSMPUG00000024328.1)". The record is from RNAcentral. Lineage: Eukaryota; Metazoa; Chordata; Mammalia; Carnivora; Mustelidae.
CCGGCCUCCAGCCCCGCCCUUCGGCCCAGUUCUCUGCCCUGUCUCUGGCUUCACCAAAACCAGAAACUUAGGGGUCAGGUUAUUCCAGGUGCUGCAGACCUGUGAGAGACAUCAGUUUAGUGGCCCCAGAAUACACUAGAUGGCAGGUAGAGUAAAGAGCACUGGGGGAGUCUUGAUGUCUGGAUUUGAAUCGCGGCUUAGCUACAACUGCCUGCCGGAUGUGGAGCUGGACAGCAGGGGACAAGCAAAGGUGUACACUCCUGGAGAGCCCGGGUGGUUCAGUCAGCUAAGUAUCUGCCUUUGGCUCCGGCCAUGAUCCGGGGGUCCUGGGAUCAAGCCCCACAUCUGGCUCCCUGCUCAGCUGAAGCUCCCCUUGCUUGUGCUCUCUCUCUG